This 484-nucleotide ribosomal RNA is filed under the name uncultured bacterium. Its description in RNAcentral is "partial 16S ribosomal RNA". It matches the Rfam family "Bacterial small subunit ribosomal RNA", at positions 30 to 507 of the family's 1533-position model. The record is from RNAcentral.
AUUGAACGCUGGCGGCAGGCCUAACACAUGCAAGUCGAGCGGAUGAAGGGAGCUUGCUCCUGGAUUCAGCGGCGGACGGGUGAGUAACGCCUAGGAAUCUGCCUGGUAGUGGGGGAUAACGUCCGGAAACGGGCGCUAAUACCGCAUACGUCCUGAGGGAGAAAGUGGGGGAUCUUCGGACCUCACGCUAUCAGAUGAGCCUAGGUCGGAUUAGCUAGUUGGUGGGGUAAAGGCCUACCAAGGCGACGAUCCGUAACUGGUCUGAGAGGAUGAUCAGUCACACUGGAACUGAGACACGGUCCAGACUCCUACGGGAGGCAGCAGUGGGGAAUAUUGGACAAUGGGCGAAAGCCUGAUCCAGCCAUGCCGCGUGUGUGAAGAAGGUCUUCGGAUUGUAAAGCACUUUAAGUUGGGAGGAAGGGCAGUAAGUUAAUACCUUGCUGUUUUGACGUUACCAACAGAAUAAGCACCGGCUAACUACGUG